AGCUCUCAAAACGCAAUUGGCUUAAAACCUGAUUGUUGUUUUGGAUUUGAACUUUGCCGUGUUACAACGGCUGGUUUUAAAAGCAUUAGCUGGUACUAGAACGAAUUGGUUCUACUCAACGUGAUAAUUAUCUGAUCGUUGAGGACAUUCCUUUCACGAGGAAUGGCCAUAGUAAAUUCAAUGGACUGCUUCUAACUUGGCUUUAAUUCUUAAUUGGAUUAACCACUUUUCAA
This 233-nucleotide unclassified non-coding RNA is filed under the name Minimedusa polyspora. Its description in RNAcentral is "partial internal transcribed spacer 2". The record is from RNAcentral. Lineage: Eukaryota; Fungi; Basidiomycota; Agaricomycetes; Cantharellales; Hydnaceae.